This 250-nucleotide ribosomal RNA is filed under the name Mantidactylus catalai. RNAcentral's name for it is "partial 16S ribosomal RNA". The record is from RNAcentral. Lineage: Eukaryota; Metazoa; Chordata; Amphibia; Anura; Mantellidae.
GAGCUUUAAACCCAAUUAUAUCUCUAACCACUAUAACCAUUUAACCACUUAGAACUUAUAUACUUGGUUUUAGGUUGGGGCGACCACGGAGCACAACCAAACCUCCACGAUGAACGGAACAACCCCCUUAUCUGAGAAUUACACUUCUAAGAAUUAGCACACUAACAUAAAAUGACCCAUUAUUGAUCAACGAACCAAGUUACCCUGGGGAUAACAGCGCAAUCCAUUUUAAGAGCCCCUAUCGACAAAU